AGGCAAAGGAUUACUGGUGGAUGAUCAAAGGAUUUCAAACGACUCUUUAGACGUGCUGAUUAUCUCAACGUCUCUUUCACGCCUCUAUAUAAAGGAGUGAAGACUUGAAGAUAGUAGAUAGAGAUAUACAAGUUCAAAAGCGCCAAAACUCUGUCAAAUUGAUUCUACAAAGCACACAGAAUUUCUGCACUGAUUUGAUACAUCUUAGAAAUUCAAAGUCUAGAGUCUUUACUGUAUUGUAUUGAGAACACCACUGAUUGUAUAUCAAGUGUUCAAGUCAAACUCAAUUCUCUGUAUUUUUUGUUUGAUCAGAAGUCUCUUGCCUGCGUGCUUGAGCAUUAGAAGUCUCUUGCUUAGUGCUUGAGCAUUGGAAGACUCUUGCGUGUGUGCUUGAGCAUCUUUGUGAAGUCUCAUACUUAGAAAGUAUUGAGCAGUUGUAAUCGUUGUGAUUAUAGUGAAAUCUCCUUGGAAGUGCAAGGGGGACUGUACUACUUCCGUGUUGUGGAAGGAACCAGGAAAACUGCUUGUGUCUUUGUCUUUCUUUUCUCUGCUAUGUUCUUUUCCGCUGCAAAUCUUAUUCUGAUUAUUUCAUCAGAAGCACUCACAAACUGCUUCUGAAGUUUUAUCAGAAGAAGAAUUUUUAGAGAGAAAAAGAAAACACAAUUCAACCCCCCCCCCCUUGUGUUUUUCUCACCUUCAAUUGGUAUCAGAGCUUGCUCUGUUAUCAUAGCGCUUAACAGUGUUACAGAUCAAGAUCCUAUAGAAAAACAUGUCUAAAGGAGAAGAAUCAAAUACUACCACAAAAUACACAAGUGUCAAACAUGAUUAUGAUACUGCUGACAAGAAAACAGACUCUGGUAAAGCUCCUAAGUUUAAUGGAGAUCCAGAAGAGUUUUCAUGGUGGAAAACAAAUAUGUAUAGCUUUAUCAUGGGUUUGGAUGAAGAGCUAUGGGACAUAUUGGAAGAUGGAGUUGAUGACCUGGAUUUAGAUGAAGAAGGAGCUGCUAUAGACAGAAGAAUACAUACUCCUGCUCAGAAAAAGCUUUACAAGAAGCACCACAAAAUUAGAGGGAUUAUUGUGGCUUCUAUACCUCGCACCGAAUAUAUGAAGAUGAGUGACAAAUCUACUGCAAAGGCUAUGUUUGCGUCACUAUGUGCCAACUUUGAAGGCAGCAAGAAGGUGAAAGAGGCUAAAGCUUUGAUGCUUGUUCAUCAGUAUGAACUAUUCAGAAUGAAGGAUGAUGAGAGUAUUGAAGAAAUGUACUCAAGAUUUCAAACUUUGGUUUCUGGAUUGCAAAUACUGAAGAAAAGCUAUGUUGCUUCUGAUCAUGUCAGUAAGAUUUUGAGAAGCUUACCUUCAAGAUGGAGACCCAAAGUAACUGCUAUUGAGGAAGCUAAGGAUCUAAACACUUUAAGUGUUGAAGAUCUUGUUAGCUCACUCAAAGUGCAUGAAAUGAGUUUAAAUGAGCAUGAAUCCUCUAAGAAGAGUAAAUCCAUUGCUUUACCAUCUAAAGGAAAGACUUCAAAAUCUUCAAAAGCCUACAAAGCCAGUGAAUCUGAAGAAGAAUCACCUGAUGGAGAUUCUGAUGAAGAUCAGUCUAUGAAGAUGGCUAUGUUGUCCAACAAACUUGAGUAUCUGGCAAGGAAGCAAAAGAAAUUUUUGAGCAAGAGAGGUGGCUACAAGAACUCAAAGAAAGCAGAUCAGAAGGGGUGCUUCAACUGCAAGAAGCCUGGUCAUUUUAUUGCUGAUUGCCCUGAUCUUCAGAAGGAGAAAUCUAAAAGCAAAUCCAAGAAAUCAAGCUUCAGCUCCAGUAAAUUUAGAAAGCAAAUCAAAAAGAGCUUGAUGGCAACCUGGGAAGAUUUGAACAGUGAAUCUGGUUCUGAUAAAGAAGAAGCAGAUGAUGAUGCAAAGACAGCCAUGGGGUUAGUGGCAACAGUAUCAUCUGAAGCAGUUUCAGAAGCUGAAUCAGAUUCAGAAGAUGAAAAUGAGGUAUAUUCCAAAAUUCCUAGACAAGAACUUGUGGAUUCUCUAAAAGAACUUUUAUCACUGUUUGAGCACAGAACCAAUGAGUUGACAGAUUUAAUAGAAAAAUAUGUUGAUUUAAUGAAACAACAAAAGUCAACUCUAUUGGAACUAAAAGCUUCUGAAGAAGAACUAAAAGGGUUUAACCUCAUAUCAACAACAUAUGAAGAUAGACUCAAAACUCUUUGUCAGAAGCUACAAGAAAAAUGUGAUAAAGGUUCAGGCAAUAAACAUGAGAUUGCCUUGGAUGAUUUUAUUAUGGCUGGAAUAGACAGAAGCAAAGUUGCUUCUAUGAUCUACAGCACAUACAAGAACAAUGGCAAAGGGAUUGGAUACUCUGAGGAGAAAUCCAAAGAAUACAGUCUCAAGAGCUACUGUGAUUGUAUCAAGGAUGGAUUGAAAUCCACCUUUGUGCCUGAAGGUACAAAUGCUGUAACUGCUGUUCAGUCAGAACCUGAAGCUUCUGGUUCAAAGGCUAAGAUCACAUCAAAGCCAAAAAACCUCAAGUCCAAGGUUAUGACAAAAUCUGAUCCUAAGAGUCAAAAGAUUAAAAUUCUGAAAAGAUCAGAACAUGUUCAUCAGAGUCUGAUUAAACCAGAAUCUAAAAUCCCAAAGCAAAAGGAUCAGAAGAAUAAAGCAGUUACUGCUUCUGAGAAAACAAUACCAAAAGGUGACAAACCUAAAGUAUUGAAUGAUCAAAAGCCUCUCAGCAUUCACCCUAAGGUACAAGGGAGGAAAAGUAAAACCUCCAGAACUAACCCAAAAGGACCCAUGAAGAUAUGGGUACCUAAAUCUGAAUUAGCUAAAACUGCAGGUGUGCCUAAGGGCAAGAGAGAAACAAAGGUCAUGGUACCUAGACAGCGGAUGUUUAAGGCACAUGACUGGAGAGAAAGCUUUGUUCCUUACCCUUACAAUGAAAGAUGGAGGAGAAGUGAAGUUUGGUGGCAACCAAACUGGAAAAAUCAUUGGUACAUGUACUAUUGGUAACUCCUCCAUCUCAAUUAAUAAUGUGUGGCUAGUAGAUGGUCUGAAGCAUAACCUAUUGAGCAUUAGUCAAUUUUGUGACAAUGGGUAUGAUGUAAUGUUCAGUAAGACCAACUGCACACUAGUCAACAAGGAUGACAAAUCCAUUACAUUCAAGGGAAAGAGAGUUGAGAAUGUCUAUAAAAUAAAUUUCUCUGAUCUGGCUGAUCAGAAGGUAGUUUGCCUUAUGUCAAUGAAUGAUAAAAAAUGGAUAUGGCAUAAAAGGUUGGGACAUGCUAAUUGGAGAUUAAUUUCUAAAAUUAGCAAGUUACAACUUGUCAAAGGAUUGCCUAACAUUGAUUAUCAUUCAGAUGCACUCUGUGGUGCAUGUCAGAAAGGGAAGAUUGUGAAAAGUUCUUUCAAAUCUAAAGACAUUGUAUCAACCUCUAGACCCUUGGAAUUACUCCAUAUUGAUCUUUUUGGACCAGUUAACACUGCAUCCUUAUAUGGAAGUAAAUAUGGAUUAGUCAUUGUUGAUGAUUACAGCAGAUGGACUUGGGUAAAAUUCAUUAAAAGUAAAGAUUAUGCUUGUGAAGUGUUUAGCAGCUUCUGCACUCAAAUACAAUCUAAAAAAUGGGGUUGUAGAGAGAAAGAACAGAACUUUACAAGAAAUGGCCAGAACCAUGAUCCAUGAAAACAAUUUAGCUAAACAUUUCUGGGCAGAAGCAGUUAAUACUUCAUGUUAUAUUCAAAAUAGGAUCUAUAUUAGACCUAUGUUGGAGAAAACUGCAUAUGAACUCUUUAAAGGAAGAAGACCCAAUAUCUCUUACUUUCAUCAGUUUGGAUGUACUUGUUACAUUCUAAACACUAAAGACUAUCUGAAGAAAUUUGAUGCCAAGGCUCAAAGAGGAAUCUUUUUAGGUUACUCUGAAAGGUCAAAGGCAUACAGAGUGUAUAAUUCAGAAACACAUUGUGUUGAAGAAUCUAUGCAUGUUAAAUUUGAUGAUAGAGAGCCUGGAAGUAAAACUCCAGAGCAAAGUGAAAGUAAUGCAGGUACAUCUGAUUCUGAAGAUGCAUCAGAAUCUAAUCAACUUUCUGAUUCUGAAAAGAAUUCAGAAGUUGAAUCUAGUCCAGAAGCUGACAUCACUCCAGAAGCUGAGUCAAAUUCAGAAGCUGAACCUAGUCCAGAAAUACAGAAUGAAAAUGCUUCUGAGGAUAUUCAAGAUAACUCUCAGCAGGCUAUUCAACCUAAAUUCAAGCACAAAUCUUCACACCCUGAGGAGCUAAUCAUUGGAAGCAAAGAUAGUCCUAGAAGAACAAGAUCACAUUUCAGACAAGAAGAGUCAUUAAUAGGAUUGCUUUCAAUAAUUGAGCCUAAAGUUGUUGAAGAAGCUCUCUCAGAUGAUGGUUGGAUACUAGCUAUGCAAGAAGAACUAAAUCAGUUUCAGAGGAAUGAUGUGUGGGAUCUGAUACCCAAACCUUUUCAGAAGAACAUUAUUGGAACAAAAUGGGUAUUCAGAAACAAGUUGAAUGAACAAGGAGAGAUAACCAGAAACAAAGCCAGACUUGUUGCUCAAGGUUACAGUCAACAAGAGGGCAUUGAUUACACUGAAACAUUUGCUCCAGUUGCAAGAUUGGAAGCAAUCAGGUUACUUCUAUCCUAUGCAAUUAAUCAUGGCAUAAUAUUGUAUCAAAUGGAUGUCAAAAGUGCUUUUCUUAAUGGUGUCAUUGAAGAAGAAGUUUAUGUGAAACAACCUCCUGGAUUUGAGGAUCUUAAGCAUCCUGACCAUGUUUAUAAACUUAAGAAAUCACUAUAUGGCUUGAAACAAGCUCCCAGAGCUUGGUAUGAUAGACUAAGUAAUUUCUUAAUUAAAAAUGAUUUUGAAAGAGGACAAGUUGAUACAACACUCUUCAGAAAGACUCUUAAGAAAGACAUUUUGAUUGUGCAAAUAUAUGUUGAUGAUAUAAUAUUUGGUUCUACUAAUGCAUCUCUUUGCAAAGAAUUUUCUAAGUUAAUGCAGGAUGAAUUUGAAAUGAGUAUGAUGGGAGAAUUGAAGUUCUUUCUUGGAAUUCAAAUCAACCAAAGUAAAGAAGGAGUAUAUGUUCAUCAAACAAAAUAUACAAAGGAGCUUCUGAAGAAGUUUAAGCUAGAAGAUUGUAAAGUGAUGAACACUCCAAUGCAUCCAACCUGCACCUUAAGCAAAGAAGAUACUGGAACAAUAGUAGACCAGAAGCUAUACAGAGGUAUGAUUGGUUCUCUGUUAUACCUCACUGCAUCUAGACCUGAUAUUUUAUUCAGUGUAUGCUUGUGUGCAAGAUUUCAAUCAGAUCCUAGAGAAUCUCAUUUAACUGCUGUUAAGAGAAUCUUCAGGUAUUUGAUAGGAACAACUAAUCUUGGACUCCUGUAUAGGAAAUCCCUAGAUUAUAAGUUGAUUGGAUUCUGUGAUGCUGAUUAUGCUGGUGACAGGAUUGAAAGAAAAUCAACCAGUGGAAAUUGUCAAUUCCUGGGAGAGAAUCUGAUAUCCUGGGCAAGCAAAAGACAAGCAACUAUUGCUAUGUCUACUGCAGAAGCAGAAUACAUUUCAGCUGCAAGUUGUUGUACACAACUACUUUGGAUGAAACAUCAGUUGGAAGACUAUCAGAUUAAUGCUAACAGUAUUCCCAUUUUUUGUGAUAAUACUGCUGCUAUUUGUUUGUCAAAGAAUCCAAUUCUACAUUCAAGAGCCAAGCACAUUGAAAUCAAACACCAUUUUAUCAGAGACUAUGUUCAAAAAGGGAUUUUAGAUAUACAAUUCAUUGAUACUGAACAUCAAUGGGCUGAUAUAUUUACAAAACCUUUAUCUGUUGAAAGAUUUGAUUUUAUUAAGAAAAAUUUGAACAUGCACUUUGUGUCUGAUUGAAAAAUUGCUUGCCUCUGAAUAAGAAGUUUUUGGUUCUGAAGUUUAUUCAGAAGCAUCUGGUCCAUUAGAAGCUCUUAACUGAGGUUCUGAGGAAAAUGUGCUUCUGAAGAUGACGUCAGCACUAAUACUUCAGAAAAGGUAUUAUUUGCUUCUGAAUAGCAAGGCUAGUGGGAACGUUGGCAGUUACUUUUUGUGACAGCUGUCCCAUUACUCAAAGGUUAGUUUUCUAAAAAGUCUCUGACGUGGUCUAUUUGUAUUGGAGUAUAACAAAAAAAAAGGGCAAUGAUGUUUUACUUGCUUUUAAAUAUACUAUCACGCGCCCCCAAUUUGUCAUUAAUUCUAUGUUUGUUUGUCUCUACAAGAAGCAGAAGUUAAUGGGUUACUUCAGUCUUCUCAAUGGUCCGACCUAUGAAGUUCUGGUCAGACAAUUCUAGGUAAGAGCUUCUGUUUUUGACAAAUAUGCUGCUAAACAGGAAGAAGCUCAGAUGAUCCUGGUUGAUCCUACUUUGGAGGGAAAAACCAGAGAAGAAAUGGGUCUACUCGCCUUCACUGGGACUGAGAUUAGAUCAAGCGUCAUGGGGAUUCCUGUAACCAUCAAUGAGCAGGUUAUUGCUCAAGCCAUGAGAAGGGAUGCUUCUGGGACGUAGUGUGGAGAAGAAACUGCUGCUAAAGAUCCAGAAUGAGAACAUCUUUCCCAAAGGUGGAGGAAGUGAUCAACCUUCACUUGGUCACAAAGUCUUUCUGCAUCACACCAUCACUCAGGAAACAACAAUGAACGUUCCCAAGUAUAUGUUUAAAUACAUGAUCAAGGAACUUAAGAAGAGUCAGAUGGAGAACAGGAAGUACGUUCCUUAUGGAAGGCUGCUCUUUAUAAUCUUUCAAGAAGGAGGAAUCCUAAGUGCCCUGAAAGACGUGGGCAUUUAUGAUAAUCAGAAGCUGGGAGCAGUCACAGGAAAAAUAAUCAAUGGGGCAACUCUGGUAAAGAUGAGGCUGACUUCAACUUGCAAGAAACUAGAUACAAAUAUGCAUGAAUCUGAUGUCAUAUCUGAUCUAGUCACUCAUCACAUCCCUAUAUGCAAGAAAGAUCCCCUGGAUGUGCAAAGGGCUUACAUCAUGGACUUCUACAAAACCUACAAUAAGAAGAUUGAUCUGAAGGAUGUCCCUGAUGAAAUGUAUAGUGGUGCUCUGCCUGUGGCUAAAGGCAGAAAAUCCAAGAAGAAGCAUAUCACCAAGGAAGUAUACCUUGCUGAUGAUGCUACUGAGAAGGGUGCUCAGAAGCAUCAGAAAGCCAAGAAGGAAAAAUCUGCUAUGUCCACUAUUCAUGAGGAAGUGGAGGAUUUGGAUGAUGUCCCUCUUAUCAGGAAGAGGACAAGGAGUGCUCAAGAAACAGCAGAACAGCCUGCUUCUGAACAAACUGGUUCUGAACAAGCUGCUUCUGAUCAAGCUACUUCUGAAAAGCCUCUAAGUCCCAAAAAGAAAAGAGAAGCUGCUCUUCAGACCAUCAAAAGGAAGAGGUUUAAUAUAACAAGAAAUCUGAAGACAGCUGAGGGACGUAAAGAACAGAUGUUGGAAGAACUGGAAGAGAACUGGGAUGAGGACUCAAGUCCUAAGAAAGUGAAGAGGACUAUCAGCACUGAGCCUGAAGUCAUGCCCAGUUUUGAAGCAUCUGAGACUCAACUAAAAGAAGCUGAUGAGUAUGCCAGAACCAGAAUUUCAGAGAGGAAGAGGAUGAAGGAAGUUUUUGAGAAAGAAAGGGAAGAUCAGCUCAAGGCUGCAGGGUAUGAGCCUGAUCCUACAAUUGCUGCUAUGGCUUCUGAGAUGGAAACUAUUCAGCUUGGAGCAUCUUUGCUGACACAAGCUUUGAAGAAUAAGCAAGCUUCAGAAGCAUCAUCUUCAGAUCCUUCUGCAAAAGCUCCAGAAGCAUCUUCAAAAGCUAAUUCUUCAGGUACUUCAUCUCAGGUUCCCUCUUGUACUCAGACUCAAACUCUACCUACUCCACCCUCUUCACCUUCCUCAUCAUCAUCCACAGAAUCUGAUGAACCUAACCUGAACAAAGACAUAGAUAAUCUCCUUAACACUAAACCCACAAAACUAACAGAGUUAGGAACCUUUGACUUUGAGCAGACACAAAUUGAAUUUUCCAAGAACAGAAUUAAACUCUGUGAAAAAUUCAAUUUGCCCGCUUCACAUCCUUUAUAUCCAGUAGUUCCAGAAGCUGUCAGUAUACAACACCCACAACCAAACCAAGAACCUACCCAAACAAACUCACCAAAUAACCCAACUCCACAAAGAGCCUCUGAAGUAGUUUCAGAAGCAACUACUUCAGAAACCCCCCAACAACAAGAAUCCUCAACCCUUCACAACCUAGAAAAACAUCUAGGUGGUGAAAGACAACCAACACCCACAAAGGCCUCUAAGACAGUCCCUGAAAAGACUGUUUUGGAAAACCAAUAAGAAACCCAAACCAUCCCUGAACAAACUGUUCAGGAGCAAACUACUUCUGAACAAGUUGUUCCUGACCAACAAACAUCUCCUGACCAAGAGUUUGGUGCUUCUGAACAGUCUGUUCAUGAACAUCAUGACUCUGACCAAACAACAAAACAACAACAACCAGCUUCACCCACUUUCAUAGACUUAACCUCUGACCAACCCUCCUCAUCAAACACAAAUCAAACUGAACCCUCACCCAUUCCUGACAAUAUCCUUGAGACUGAGUAUAUUGAGGAACAACUGAUCAGACUUAGUGAGGAGAUUCAGACACUGAUUCUUCGCAGAACAGUUCAUGUACCUCCUAUUCACUAUUAUGAUCAGUGGAUGGAUCUGGAGAAAAGCUUUGUUGAUCUGAUGAGUCAGCUCAUAACCAAAUGUGUCUCAUCUCACUCUGCUAUGCUGAAGAAGCUGUUGGAUGAUAUGCAUGAAGCAGCCAAGGAGAAAGAGCUGAAUUUUGUGCCUCUGCUGGACAUCACUCCUUACUAUCCAGAAGAAGAGUACAUCACAAGGGCUGCAAGAAUUCAUGCUGGGCAUAAAAGGAAAAUGAGAGAAAAGGAUGAGUGUUAUACCCUGUUUUUGGACCUAAAAAUACUGGGCCCAAUUUCAUUUCAAACUUUGUCGAUUAUCAAAUUUCAACUGCACAGUUCAAAUUGUCUCUGCCUCGCAGUAUUUUCAAUCACAAUUUUACCUAUGUUUUUCUUGCAUAAAACCUUUCAAAAUGUCUUUACUUGUCUUGUGAGUCAUUCAAAAGUGUCUCUGAAUCAUUACAUUGCUUUUUCUACAGUUUAUUUCAAAAUUUGCAAAAAGUCAUACAGAAGGGUAUUUUGGUCAUUUCCUGCAGUGGGACCUAUUUUCAUCCUUGUGACUGUCUCUGAGUCUUUUCAGAUUAUUUUUAAACAUUUCAUCAGUAGACCUUGUUAAAAUUCAUUUCAAACUUGCAUCUGAGUCAGUGUCGAGUCAAUUUGAUUCUGUUUAGGUCAUUUUUAGCCCUAGGGGCAUUUUGGUCAUUUCACAUAAAAUUUUGGCAUGGGGAGGUUACUUUGAAGUACCUCAUUUAGGCCAUUGGUUCGUUUUAGUCCGUUUUGUCAAUUUUAUUUUGGUUUCACUUUACGUUUGAUCAAAUUGCGUUUUUUAUUCAAAUUUUAUUUUUUAUUGCAUUUUGGUCCCUCAAUUAAGGUCCCAAAAUUGCAUUUCAGUCCAAAAGUUUCUAAAAAUUGCAUUUCAGUCCUUUUUUAUUAUUUUUUUUUUUUUUGCAGAAAAGGUCCCAGGGGCAUUUUUGUCCAGAAUUUUCGCACAUUUUAGUCCAGUCCAGAUGUCACUUUUUUAUUGGUUCAGGUACACAUGGCAGCAUAUAAAAGGGGAACAGUGUCAGAUUUUUUCAGGGAUCCAUUCAUUACAAUACACAUCACCAAAAACAAAUUCCCAUUUUCUCUCUCUUUUCUGUUAGAUCAAAAACAGAAAUUUCUCAAGAACAAAACAGAACCCUAACCGAAAUUCAUCAUCAAAUUCUCAGAGAUUCGUGUACGAAUCUUCAUCAUCGAAUCGAUUCCACCGCAAUACAAGGUGCGAAUUCCUCACCGGAAGUGAAGAACUCAAGCACCGAUCACGGUAGGGAAAAAGAGGGAAAACCGAAUCUGCACAGAGGAAGGAGAAGAAGACAGAAUCAAAGAAACAGCAAGCAAAACGCGCACGCAAGCAAGCACACGCGCAAGCCAGCAAGCAAGCAAGCAAAACGCGCACGCAAGCAAGCACGCACGCAAGCCAGCAGGCAAGCGAGCAAGCACGCGAAGCACAAGCAGCAAGAGCCGUAACAGAAAACAAGAAGAGGUAAGCAUCCUCUUCGUUCGCAUCUCUUCCUUUUUCCACCGUUCUUUUACAAAAAUUUCAUCAAGAUUCAAACUCAGAUCUACUCCGAUUCAAGCUUUUUUCGAAAAAUCUAAGUUCGGAUUCGAGAAGUAUAUAAAAAAGGAUAUCUAAAAAUGUGAAAAUUUCUCGAAUCGGAGCAUUUUGAUUUUCCGGCACGGUGGCGCCGCCGCCAUCCGCCGCGCCGGAACGGAGGAGCUGGCCGGAGAAGAUGACCGGAAAGUUAGAGAGAAGGAGGAGCUUCUCUCUCUAAAAGAGAGAAGAAAGAGAAAGAGGAGUAACAAAUGAAAAAAACCGGACUUGAAGCAUAUAUAUAGAGCUUUGAACCGGUCCGGUUUAUUUUCGGUUUUUUCCUUUUCUUUUUCAGCCUCUAGAUCAAUCCAACGUCUCCUGUGCAAUCUGAGUUUUGUGUAUUGGGCUUUGGUUUGGGCUUAGGUUUUUUACGUUUUUUUGUUAUUUCCCUGCUAUCUGCACCAUAUGUCUUUGCUAUCAGCACCUGUUGCUUGCUCACUUUUUUACAAAAAAUUCCUAAAAAAUCCUAGUUGUUUCUUGAUAUAUUUUUGGUAUUUCUAUGGUGUUUUUGCAUAAAAAAAAUGGUAAAAUGGCAUGAAUUAAUUUCCAUGUGUGUUUACAUUUUUGGGUAUUAUUUUGGUUAUGUUUUUGUUCUUGACACUUUGAUGUGUGACAUGAACAAAUGAUACCCAAUCUUGUGAUGAAUACGCCUCUGGUCAUGUGCUUUCUUGCUGGUUUUUGGAUAUGAUUUUGUAAAUUUCUUGUUUUGCAAGCAACAAGUGUGUGUUUUAAGGAAUAAAGUGUCAAAUUCCUCUAGGAGUUUGGUGUGAUACUUUGCUUGCAUGUGUCUCUAUUAAUUCCGCAUCAUGGCUUGAAACUAAAUCUCUUUCAAAAUCGCCAUGAUGUGAUGAUUAUGGGUCACAAGCACAUUUAGGUAUCAUAUCAAAUUUUUUAUAGGUUUUUACCAUUUUAUUACUUCCUUUUUGCUAUUCUUAUACAAUCUCUUUUUAUUUAUCUCUUACUAUUUCAUGCUUUAUGAUUACUAACCAUUUCAUCUCAUGUGACAUACAUUUCAUAGCAUCCCACUAUCUCCUCCACUUUCUUUAGCUUAGCAUUUAUUCUCUUUGCAAGUUUUAACUCAUUUGGUGAUGUAAUUUGUUAUCAUUGGUUUGUAGCUUGGCAAAGGGGCCAUAGAAUGUAUUUAGGCAAUUGUUGUAAUAUGGACUAUGGACACUAUGACGCACCGACACGCACACACUCACCUUAGAUGUAUGCAUAGGAUUGUAUGGUUAAAUAAGCGUUUAGGUUUUAAAUACUUAGAGAAAAUCCAUCUUUUUCCAAAAAACAAUUGAACUUCACUUCAAUAAAUUUCAUAGUAAAUAUGAAGUCAACACUUCAUUUUUUUUCUUUUCUUUUUCUUAAGGAAAAUUCAAUUCAUCUUAACCAUUUAGACUUUCUUUCUAAUCACUAAUCAAACCUCACUUUUUUGCUAAAUCUAAUGCUCAUGAAGCCUCCCAAUCUCCUUCUUCAAAACCAUUUUCAAAACUUAAAAUCAAACAAUUAAAACAAAAACAAGUUUUUUAGCAAGAACUACGAACGGUUUUGAUCCCUUAAAAAGGGUACGUAGGCAAUGAGUCAAAACUCAUCCAAGCCGAAAUAAAAUUAAAUUCUACAACUUCUCUCCCCACAUUCUUAGCUAAAUAAACCUCCCAUUUUCAAAAGUAAGUAAAAAUAAGCGUGAAUAUAGACUUAGGAAAACGGCUCCUAUAGAGGACUAUAGUUACUCCGGGUGCCUAACACCUUCCCGUAGUAAAACCGACCCCCGAACUUAGAAUCUAAGGGUUUUUCUCAAUUUUUCCCUUCCCAAGAAAAAAGAGAGAUAUCAACGGUCGAAAGGUACAAGUCCAAUUAAUGGCUUGGCACCCAAAAACCAUGAUAACAGAAAUGGCGACUUCACUGGGGACUCAUUUUAGCGGGUCGCGCCUAGUUUUCUUUAGUUUAUAUUUACGCUUGUUUUAUUGCUUACAUAUGUGAAUAUUUGUUUACUUUCAUUCAACGUGUGGGGUGAGAAUAUCAAAAGUCCUAACCCGGGCUGAGUGAACUUAUGUUUAGGUAGAGAUAUAAUCGACAAUUCGAUCCGGGGGUUGCCUCGUGUAUUGGAUUAUGCGAUCAAUCUCACAUAGCUGAGGCAUUUUGAAGGUGAUAUUGUCGGCGUGUGUUGUCAUGCUUAGGCACUUCACUUUCAAUUGUUCGACGAAGCUAUGAACCGUAGUUACCAAACCCAUCCUAGCCUUUUUUAGGACGUAGUGCGGUGGCUAAAUUGAGUGUUGUCUCAAACUUUAGUCGUCACGCGAUACUACACUCAAACUAGACCUUCUCACAAAUAAUCAGGGAACGGGUGUCGUCCUGUACCACCAUGAUAUAUGUGAGAGAGGUUGCAGUUUGGGAACGGUGUUAGAACCUUGGUUACUACUAUCCAAAGCCUUAGUUCACCGGACGCCGUGUCCAUCCAUGGCCCUGUUACUUUGAAACUCAACCCACCUUGUUCUUUGUAACUAAACAAAACAAUCAUGCAUACAUGCAUUCAUGCAUAAACAUUUUUCAUGCAUUCAUCGAAGGGUUUAAACAAAUGAGAAUUUUUUGUAAAUAAUCACAGGUAUGAAGAAGACUAAGUGCUACAAGUUCAAGGAAGUGGAUCUGGUUGGUUUGAGAGAGUUGGCACUCAAGGUCAAGAGUCAAACAGGGUUCCGACUCCGGUAUGGGGGAUUGCUUACUUUGCUCCGAACCGAUGUGGAUGAGAAGCUAGUGCACACUCUAGUGCAAUUUUAUGAUCCGAGCUUCCGUUGCUUCACUUUCCCGGACUUCCAGUUGGUUCCUACUCUCGAGGCUUACUCCAAUCUAGUGGGUCUGCCUAUAGCCGAGAAGACACCUUUCACCGGUCCCGGGGCUCCUCUUACUCCUCUGGUUAUUGCUAAGGAUCUCCACCUCAAGACUUCCGACGUCUCCAACCAUCUUAUUACCAAGUCUCACAUCCGGGGGUUCACUUCAAAGUAUCUUCUUGAUCAGGCUAAUCUCAGUACUACUCGUCAGGAUACACUCGAGGCUAUUCUUGCUUUGCUUAUCUACGGGCUCAUUCUCUUCCCGAACCUCGACAACUUCGUGGACAUGAAUGCUAUCGAGAUCUUUCAUUCCAAGAACCCGGUUCCUACUUUGCUAGCGGAUACCUACCACGCCAUCCAUGACAGGACUCUCAAGGGCCGUGGGUAUAUUCUUUGCUGCACAUCUCUUUUGUAUAGGUGGUUUAUUUCGCACCUUCCGAGUUCCUUCCAUGAUAACUCGGAAAUUUGGUCCUACUCUCAGCGGAUUAUGGCUCUCACUCCUAAUGAGGUCGUCUGGCUCACUCCUGCCGCUCAAGUGAAGGAAAUCAUUAUGGGUUGUGGAGACUUUCUCAAUGUACCUCUUCUUGGUACUCGUGGAGGAAUCAACUACAAUCCCGAGCUUGCUAUGAGACAGUUUGGUUUCUCUAUGAAGUCGAAGCCCAUCAAUCUUGCCACAUCUCCAGAGUUCUUCUUCUACACGAAUGCUCCUACCGGACAAAGGAAAGCUUUCAUGGAUGCUUGGUCCAAGGUUCGAAGGAAAAGCGUGAGGCAUCUAGGUGUGAGAUCCGGUGUCACUCAUGAGGCCUAUACCCAGUGGGUGAUAGAUCGAGCUGAGGAGAUUGGUAUGCCUUAUCCAGCUAUGAGAUACGUGUCUUCGUCUACUCCAUCUAUGCCUCUACCUCUACUCCCCGCGACUCAGGAUAUGUAUCAGGAGCAUCUAGCUAUGGAGAGUCGUGAGAAGCAAGUGUGGAAAGCUCGGUACAAUCAAGCCGAGAAUCUAAUCAUGACUUUGGAUGGUAGAGAUGAGCAGAAGACUCAUGAGAAUCUAAUGUUGAAGAAAGAGCUAGCUAAGGCCCGGAGGGAAUUGGAAGAGAAAGACGAGCUGCUUAUGAGGGAUUCCAAGAGAGCUCGAGGACGACGAGAUUUCUUUGACAGAUACUGUGAUUCAGAUUCCGAGUCCGAUGAUCUUCCGACUACUUCCUAUGCUUGAGAGCUUUAUUUGUUUACUUUGUUGAAAAUGUUGUGUAAUUUUGAUUAUUUGCAAGAUUUCUAAUUUGUUUUAAAAUCCUUCGAUGAAAAAAAUAAGUCUUUUGCAUUCGCAUUUGCAUAUCAUGCAUCAUGUGCAUCAUACAUUGGUCACAAAGGCUUCCAAGUGCUCACUAUCUCCUGGUUCCUCUGUCGCAGUGUGAAAAGUGGCUCGUGCUCAGAGAGUUUACGAACCAGAUAGAACUGAUCGAACCAGAGAAUACAGAAGAAAGAAAAGGGCUAUGGAAGAAGAGAACGCUCAGCUUCGCACCGAGUUAGCCUCUCUAAAAGAGGAAUUGGCUAAAGCUAAUGACGUCAUGACUGCUCUACUAGCUGCUCAAGAGCAAUCAGCUACAACUAUCCCUACAACCACAGCUGCACCAGUAACUACAAGCGUGCUCCCUACCACUUCUGCAGACAAUCGCUUUACUAUGCCAGUGGGGUUUCCGUAUGGGCUUCCACCGUUCUUCACUCCCGUUGCUACAGCAAGCACCUCGGGCACUGCUAACAAUGUUCUGAUCCCUGCAACAAAUGCCGCCUCCAUCAUUGCUACUUUGCCACAAACAACAGCAGCUGUCACUGAGCCUCUGGUACACACUCUGCCUCAAGGUAUUAACAUCAACACACAGCACAGAAGCAUCCCCGUAACCAAGACUAUGGAAGAGAUGAUGGAGGAACUUGCUAAAGAACUCCGUCACGAGAUCCAGGCCAAUCGAGGGAAUACCGACUCUGUCAAAACUCAAGACCUUUGCUUAGUGUCAAAAGUGGAUGUCCCUAAAAAGUUCAAGAUUCCGGACUUCGACCGGUACAACGGGCUAACUUGCCCUCAAAAUCACAUCAUCAAAUACGUCCGGAAGAUGGGCAAUUACAAAGACAAUGAUUCCCUUAUGAUCCACUGUUUUCAGGAUAGUCUGAUGGAGGAUGCCGCAGAGUGGUAUACUAGUUUGAGUAAGAAUGACAUCCAUACCUUUGAUGAGUUAGCCACCGCUUUCAAGAGCCAUUAUGGGUUUAACACUCGACUGAGGCCAAAUAGGGAGUUUCUCAGGUCCCUAUCUCAGAAGAAGGAGGAAAGUUUCCGUGAAUAUGCGCAAAGGUGGAGAGGGGCGGCUGCCCGUAUCACUCCUGCUUUAGAUGAGGAAGAAAUGACCCAGACAUUCUUAAAGACCUUGAAGAAAGAUUAUGUUGAGAGGAUGAUCAUCGCUGCCCCGAACAACUUUUCGGAGAUGGUCACUAUGGGAACCCGUCUUGAGGAAGCCGUCAGGGAUGGAAUUAUUGUGUUUGAGAAAGCUGAAUCUUCUGCGAGUGCCUCGAAGAGGUAUGGUAAUGGACACCACAAGAAGAAAGAAACGGAAGUGGGGAUGGUGUCAGCUGGAGCCGGUCAAUCAAUGGCUACUGUUGCUCCCAUCAAUGCAGCUCAAAUGCCUCCGCCAUACCCAUAUAUGCCGUAUUCUCAGCAUCCUUUCUUCCCGCCAUUUUAUCAUCAGUACCCUCUGCCACCGGGUCAACCUCAAGUGCCCGUCAAUGCAAUUGCUCAACAGAUGAAACAACAGAUGCCGGUUCAACAACAACAACAAAAUCAGCAAGCUAGGCCUACUUUCCCUCCGAUACCGAUGUUAUAUGCUGAGUUGCUUCCAACUUUACUCCAGAGAGGGCAUUGUACAACUAGACAGGGUAAGCCCCCACCUGAUCCGUUGCCUCCAAGGUUCAGGUCUGAUCUCAAAUGCGACUUUCAUCAAGGUGCCCUAGGUCAUGAUGUCGAGGGGUGUUAUGCUUUGAAAUAUAUCGUGAAGAAGCUCAUCGAUCAAGGGAAGCUGACUUUUGAGAAUAAUGUUCCACAUGUCCUUGACAAUCCGCUACCAAAUCAUGCCGCUGUGAAUAUGAUCGAAGUGUGUGAAGAAGCUCCGAGGCUUGAUGUCCGCAAUGUCGCAACUCCUCUGGUGCCUCUGCACAUCAAGCUGUGCAAAGCUUCUCUGUUCAGUCAUGAUCAUGCCAAGUGUCUGGGAUGUCUCCGUGAUCCUUUGGGUUGUUAUACUGUUCAAGAAGACAUCCAAAGCCUGAUGAAUGAUAAUCUUCUGACUGUCAGUGAUGUUUGCGUGAUUGUGCCGGUUUUUCACGAUCCGCCUGUCAAGAGUGUAACUUUGAAGAAGAAUGCUGAGCCUUUGGUGAUAAGGUUGCCAGGACCAAUUCCUUAUGUUUCGGAUAAGGCUGUUCCAUACAAGUACAAUGCUACUAUGAUAGAAAAUGGAGUAGAGGUGCCUCUAGCCUCCUUUGCCACAGUAAGCAAUAUUGCCGAAGGGACUUCUGCAGCACUAAGAAGCGGGAAGGUUCGUCCGCCGUUAUUUCAGAAAAAGGUAGCUACACCGACCAUUCCACCAGUUGAAGAAGCAACUCCAACCGUUGUUUCACCCAUUGCUACAGAUGUGAACCAGCCUGGCAAAUCUAUAGAGGAUUCGAAUUUAGAUGAGAUUCUGAGAAUAAUAAAGAGGAGCGACUACAAGAUCGUUGAUCAGUUGCUGCAGACUCCUUCGAAGAUAUCUGUCUUGUCAUUACUCUUGAGCUCUGAGGCUCACAGGAAUACCUUGUUGAAAGUGCUGGAGCAGGCUUAUGUUGACCACGAAGUUACGGUAGAUCGUUUCGGUGGCAUAGUGGGAAACAUUACUGCUUGUAACAACCUCUGGUUCAGUGAAGAAGAGUUGCCGGAAGCGGGAAAGAGUCACAAUCUGGCUUUGCACAUCUCGGUAAAUUGUAAAUCAGACAUGAUAUCAAAUGUGUUGGUGGAUACCGGUUCCUCUCUCAAUGUAAUGCCCAAGACGACUCUAGAUCAGUUGAGCUACCGUGGGACCCCGUUGAGGAGAAGUACUUUCUUGGUCAAAGCUUUUGAUGGAUCUCGAAAGAAUGUGCUGGGAGAGAUAGACUUGCCGAUAACCAUUGGCCCUGAGAAUUUCUUGGUUACUUUCCAAGUGAUGGACAUUAAUGCAUCCUACAGUUGCCUGCUGGGAAGAUCGUGGAUACACGAUGCAGGUGCAGUUACUUCCACCUUACAUCAGAAGUUGAAAUUUGUGAAGAAUGGAAAACUCGUUACAAUCCAUGGUGAAGAAGCAUACUUAGUCAGCCAAUUGUCUUCUUUUUCUUGUAUUGAAGCAGGGUCUGCUGAAGGGACUGCUUUCCAGGGUUUGACCAUUGAAGGUGCAGAGUCUAAGGAAGCUGGGGCUGCUAUGGCUUCAUUGAAGGAUGCUCAGAGAGCCAUUCAAGAAGGUCAGACUGCCGGCUGGGGCAAGGUGAUACAGCUCUGUGAGAACAAGCGUAAAGAAGGUCUCGGGUUCUCCCCGUCAUCAAGGGUUUCCUCAGGGGUCUUCCACAGUGCUGGGUUUGUUAAUGCUAUCUCUGAAGAAGCCACUGGAUCUGGUCUCAGACCUGCAUUUGUUACACCAGGAGGCAUUACGACAAAUUGGGAUGCCAUUGACAUUCCAUCAAUCAUGCAUGUUUCUGAGUAAUGUGUCUUGUUGCUUUAAUGCUUUGUUUUCAAAAUAACAAUCCUCUCGCUCUGCCCAAAGCGAGAGUGAUAUUUUCUGUAAAGGCAUGUUUGUUUCGGCAUUGCCGUUGAUUAAUAAAAUUUUGUCGUUUCUUCCACGACUACUUUUUUUUUUAGUGCUUUUUCCCUUGGAAACAAUGGUAAUGCCAGAAAAAACCAAAACAUUUGUAUUUUCUUAUUAAUUUCAAAAAUCUGCAUGAAAAAAAAAAAACUCUUUCUAAAAUCAUCCAAUCAUUAUAUGCAGGUUGAACCAUAAUAAACCCGUUGAACACAGUAAUCCUACGGUUCCUCCAAAUUUUGAUUUCCCUGUGUAUGAAGCCGAAGAUGAGGAAGGUGAUGGCAUACCGUAUGAGAUUACUCGGUUACUUGAGCAAGAAAAGAAAGCCAUUCAGCCUCACCAGGAAGAGAUUGAGCUUGUCAACAUAGGUACCGAGGAAAACAAGCGAGAAAUCAAGAUUGGUGCUACUCUAGAGGAAGGGGUUAAACAGAAGAUCAUCCGACUCCUCCGGGAAUAUCCGGAUAUUUUUGCAUGGUCCUAUGAAGAUAUGCCAGGUCUAGACCCUAUGAUCGUGGAGCAUCGGAUCCCUACCAAGCCUGAAUGUCCUCCCGUCAGGCAGAAAUUGAGAAGGACUCAUCCUGACAUGGCCCUCAAGAUCAAGAAUGAAGUUCAAAAGCAGAUUGAUGCGGGUUUCCUCAUGACAGUUGAGUAUCCCGAAUGGGUUGCCAAUAUUGUGCCUGUGCCAAAGAAGGAUGGUAAAGUCCGGAUGUGUGUUGACUUCAGGGACUUGAACAAAGCCAGUCCAAAAGACAACUUUCCAUUACCUCAUAUUGAUGUGCUUGUUGAUAAUACUGCUCAAUCUAAGGUGUUCUCUUUCAUGGACGGUUUUUCCGGUUAUAAUCAGAUCAAAAUGUCUCCUGAAGAUAGAGAAAAGACAUCUUUUAUCACUCCAUGGGGUACCUUCUGCUACAAAGUGAUGUCGUUCGGCCUAAUCAAUGCUGGUGCUACCUACCAAAGGGGAAUGACCACUCUGUUUCAUGACAUGAUUCACAAAGAAGUCGAGGUAUAUGUGGAUGACAUGAUUGUGAAGUCAGCAGAUGAGGAGCAGCAUGUUGAAUAUUUAACAAAGAUGUUUGAAAGGUUGAGAAAAUACAAGCUGCGAUUGAAUCCCAACAAAUGUACAUUCGGCGUCAGAUCCGGCAAGUUGUUAGGCUUCGUUGUCAGCCAAAAGGGCAUUGAAGUCGAUCCUGAUAAAGUCCGGGCCAUCCGAGAAAUGCCAGCUCCACAGACAGAGAAGCAAGUCAGAGGUUUCUUGGGACGUUUGAAUUACAUCUCCCGAUUCAUAUCUCAUAUGACUGCAACCUGCGGGCCGAUCUUCAAGCUACUUAGAAAGAACCAGCCUGUUGUAUGGAAUGAUGAAUGCCAAGAAGCUUUUGAUAGCAUCAAGAAUUACCUGCUGGAACCACCUAUCCUUGUCCCUCCCGUGGAAGGAAGGCCUUUGAUUAUGUAUUUGGCAGUAUUUGACGAAUCCAUGAGAUGUGUACUUGGUCAACAAGAUGAAACCGGAAAGAAAGAGCAUGCUAUCUACUAUCUAAGCAAGAAGUUCACCGAUUGUGAAACUCGGUAUACAAUGCUUGAGAAGACUUGUUGUGCUCUAGCUUGGGCUGCUAAACGCCUGCGCCAUUAUUUGGUGAAUCAUACAACUUGGUUGAUAUCCAGAAUGGAUCCAAUAAAGUAUAUCUUUGAGAAAGCGGCCGUUACUGGGAAGAUCGCACGCUGGCAGAUGCUUUUGUCUGAAUAUGAUAUUGUGUUCAAAACUCAAAAGGCAAUCAAAGGCAGCAUUCUUGCCGAUCACCUGGCUUACCAGCCUCUCGAUGAUUAUCAACCAAUUGAAUUCGAUUUCCCUGAUGAAGAGAUCAUGUAUUUGAAAUCCAAAGACUGCGAAGAACCGUUGAUUGAUGAAGGUCCAGAUCCCAAUAGCAAGUGGGGUUUAGUCUUUGACGGUGCUGUCAAUGCUUAUGGUAAGGGAAUUGGGGCAGUCAUUGUAUCCCCGCAGGGGCAUCACAUUCCUUUUACCGCCAGAAUCUUGUUCGAAUGUACCAACAAUAUGGCUGAGUAUGAAGCAUGUAUCUUCGGGAUCGAGGAAGCAAUUGACAUGAGAAUCAAACACCUCGACAUCUAUGGAGAUUCUGCGCUCGUCAUCAAUCAGAUAAAGGGUGAAUGGGAGACCCACCAUGCUAAUUUGAUUCCUUAUCGUGAUUAUGCGAGACGUUUGCUGACAUAUUUUACAAAGGUUGAGCUGCACCAUAUUCCUCGUGAUGAGAACCAAAUGGCUGAUGCUCUUGCUACUCUAUCUUCCAUGUUUCGAGUGAACCAUUGGAAUGAUGUGCCAAUAAUCAAAGUGCAACGCCUUGAAAGACCUUCGCAUGUGUUUGCUAUUGGGGAUGUGAUCGAUCAGGCUGGUGAGAAUGUGGUUGACUAUAGACCCUGGUACUAUGACAUCAAGCAGUUCUUGCUGAGCCGUGAGUAUCCGCCAGGUGCUUCCAAACAAGACAAGAAGACCUUGAGAAGAUUGGCCAGUAGAUUCCUGUUAGAUGGAGAUAUUCUGUACAAGAGAAACUACGACAUGGUAUUGUUAAGAUGUGUUGAUGAACAUGAAGCAGAGCAGUUAAUGCAUGAUGUACAUGACGGUACCUUCGGGACCCAUGCUACAGGGCAUACUAUGUCAAGAAAGUUGCUACGGGCAGGUUACUACUGGAUGACUAUGGAGCAUGAUUGCUACCAGUACGCCAGAAAAUGUCACAAAUGUCAAAUCUAUGCUGAUAAGAUUCAUGUGCCUCCGCACGCUCUCAAUGUUAUGUCAUCCCCAUGGCCGUUCUCAAUGUGGGGCAUCGAUAUGAUCGGAAGGAUUGAACCGAAGGCUUCAAAUGGUCAUCGUUUCAUCUUAGUAGCAAUUGACUACUUCACCAAGUGGGUCGAAGCAGCAUCUUAUACCAAUGUGACCAAGCAAGUGGUAGCUAAGUUUAUCAAGAACAACCUCAUCUGUCGAUAUGGUGUUCCCAGCAAGAUUAUUACCGACAACGGUACCAACCUGAACAACAAUGUGGUGCAAGCUCUUUGUGAAGAAUUCAAAAUUGAGCAUCAUAACUCUUCUCCUUAUAGACCUCAGAUGAAUGGUGCAGUUGAGGCCGCCAACAAGAAUAUCAAGAGAAUCGUCCAGAAGAUGGUAACUACUUACAAGGACUGGCAUGAGAUGUUACCCUAUGCUCUGCAUGGCUACCGCACUACCGUGCGCAGUUCAACCGGGGCAACUCCUUUCUCUCUUGUAUAUGGUAUGGAAGCAGUUCUUCCUUUGGAAGUGGAGAUCCCAUCUCUCCGUGUGAUCAUGGAAGCAAAGUUAUCCGAGGCUGAAUGGUGCCAAAGCCGGUAUGAUCAGUUGAAUUUGAUUGAGGAAAAACGUAUGGAUGCCAUGGCUCGUGGACAGUCAUAUCAAGCAAGAAUGAAGACUGCCUUUGACAAGAAAGUCCAUCCUCGAGAAUUCAAGGUAGGGGAACUUGUAUUGAAAAGGAGGAUAGGCCAGCAACCCGACCCAAGGGGCAAGUGGACGCCUAACUAUGAAGGUCCUUAUGUUGUCAAGAAGGCCUUCUCCGGUGGUGCUUUAAUCCUUACACACAUGGAUGGUAUAGAACUUCCAAAUCCAGUGAAUGCCGAUAUAGUCAAGAAAUACUUUGCCUAGAAAUAUGAAAAGAACAGCGUGGUAGGUCGAAAACCCGAAAGGGCGGCCUAGGCAAAAAUGCGCUUCCCGGUGGAUCGAAAACCCGAAAGGGCGGUCCAGGCAAAAAUAAGGGACAAAAAAAAUAUAUAUGAAAAGCUCGCUGAGAUUGUACACAACUCAGGCAAGAAUGAGCGUCUCGAUGAGCCGAAAACCCGGAAGGGCGGUUCAUGCAAAAAUGAGAUUGAAACAAAAGGCAAGUAACUAUAUCUGACCAACCACCGUCCCCCUUGGGACAUCUGCUGCUGUUAAUGACUAUCUUCAUCUAAAGCUCCUACGCUUGCGAAUUCAAAGUUUCCAGGAAGUGUAAUGAUUGCUGUGUUCAAUGUACCACCAACCAAUAAAAUUACCAUUUUCCAAGCUUUGUGAAUCCGUGGAGUCAUGCCUUUGGCUGACCACCACUCUUAUACAUCAAUUUGAGCCUUUGCUUUUGUUUGAAAACUCUAUUUUCUUCUACUUUCAAAGUUAUAUACAAAAAUAUUUUCUUUCUAUUUUGAUAAUGACAAUGCUUGAAACAAACAUUUUGAAAAUUGAAAACUUUUUGUCUAUUUUGAAAAGCAAACCUGAGCAACAGGGUACAUUCAAAUGAAACAUGCAUGAGUGAGAGUAUGUUGAUGUCUAUUUCAAUAUGUGUUACAAGCAGGUUCUCCUCCAGGAUAGUCUGUGGUCAAUGGCAAGAAUGAAAAAACAGAAUAAAAAUGUAUGAAAAUAAAUGAGCUCGCUAAGUUGAAAACCCGAAAGGGCGGCUUAGGCAAAAAUGAGCACCCCGCUGGAUUGACAACCCGAAAGGGCAGUUCAGGCAAAAAUGGGGCAUUGAAAAGAAUUUAUUUCCCCGGUGGACCGAAAACCCGAAAGGGCGAUCCAGGCAAAAAUGGGAUGCAAAAAAUGAUGAAUGAAAUUAAGAAUAUAACAUGCAAAAAGCAUUGACCACAGAUGCAAUGUCUACAACAUACCCAGCACUGAAAUGCCCAGCACAACGGCGUUUUCCCCAGUAAGUCUUCCAAGAUUCUAUCCCCAGCAAGUUGCAUACCUACCUGCCCUCAGCCAUGGUUCCGAAACGUCUCCCAACGACGUCAUCUCCAAAGAGGAUUUCCAAGAAUGUGUAAUAUAGCACGAGCCACUACGUGCCCAAUACUCUGAUGUCUUGUCUUCCCCGUGAAGUCGUGCCUACAAAAUGCCAACAGUCAUGCAUUACAAGCAUUCAUACAUGCAUAAUCAUGCAUAUUACGUGCCCAUGCAUUUAAUGAAAUUGUUAUAUCAUCCAUGCAUAUUGCAUUUCCAAUGUCAACAUCAGUCUCAAUUCAAUACUCGUGUCAGGUUCUCUGUCAAAACCUUGUAAGCCAAUAACAUCAGUCUCAAUUUCUACCUUUCAAAUCAAAUCGACGUCAAAUCUCAAUCUAUAUUUUGUCAAACAAACUAAUCCCCAGUGAAUAUGUUUCUGUUUGGCCAAGUGGCUAGUUCAAGUCCAAGAACAGCUUGUACCUAUCAAUUUGCUUAUGUUAUCGGUCGAGUGCCCAGCUCAAUCCAAGAGCAGCUUGUACCUGUCAAUAUGUUUCCGUUUGGUCAAGUGGCUAGCUCAAUCCAAGAGCAGCUUGUACCUGUCUAUCUGUUUCUGUCCGGUGGAGUAACCAGUUCGAAUCCUUAAGAACAGCUCGUACUUGCCAAUUUUCCCUUUUUCCAGUCGAGUCACCAGUUCGAAUCCGUAAGAACAACUCGUGCUUGCCAAUUUUCCCUUUUUCCAGUCGGGUUACCAGUUCGAAUCCAUAAGAACAACUCGCACUUUCCAAUAUCUCCCAAGUGAGUUACCAGUUCGAAUCCAUAAGAACAACUCAUGUUUGUCCAGUAACCUCUAUCCCCUGUGAAGUGACCAGUUCGAAUCCAUAAGAACAACUCGCAGUUGUCUGUUUGUUUCAUCCCCGGUCAAGUGGCUAGUUUGAAUCCAAGAACAGCUUGUACCUGUCCAACUUGUUUCUAGUUUCCCGUUACUCUGCUAUUCGCUAUCUUUGUCAAUGUCUACCAAUCCCGCAAUGGAUACGACAUAUUUUGUUAAUUCCAAUCCCCAUGAGGUCUUGCAUUCAUAAUCCAAAUGAUGCAUGGCAUGCAUAUUAUUUGAAAAUGGGUAGGCGUAUUUUUACGUCCAAACACAGUGUAAAUGCUAAUAUUUAAGUAUCUUCGUCCUGUCAAGCCAAAGACUCCGUCUCUUGAUUCUCCAGACAAAGAAACUUAAAUAGGGGCAGCUGUUAUACCCUGUUUUUGGACCUAAAAAUACUGGGCCCAAUUUCAUUUCAAACUUUGUCGAUUAUCAAAUUUCAACUGCACAGUUCAAAUUGUCUCUGCCUCGCAGUAUUUUCAAUCACAAUUUUACCUAUGUUUUUCUUGCAUAAAACCUUUCAAAAUGUCUUUACUUGUCUUGUGAGUCAUUCAAAAGUGUCUCUGAAUCAUUACAUUGCUUUUUCUACAGUUUAUUUCAAAAUUUGCAAAAAGUCAUACAGAAGGGUAUUUUGGUCAUUUCCUGCAGUGGGACCUAUUUUCAUCCUUGUGACUGUCUCUGAGUCUUUUCAGAUUAUUUUUAAACAUUUCAUCAGUAGACCUUGUUAAAAUUCAUUUCAAACUUGCAUCUGAGUCAGUGUCGAGUCAAUUUGAUUCUGUUUAGGUCAUUUUUAGCCCUAGGGGCAUUUUGGUCAUUUCACAUAAAAUUUUGGCAUGGGGAGGUUACUUUGAAGUACCUCAUUUAGGCCAUUGGUUCGUUUUAGUCCGUUUUGUCAAUUUUAUUUUGGUUUCACUUUACGUUUGAUCAAAUUGCGUUUUUUAUUCAAAUUUUAUUUUUUAUUGCAUUUUGGUCCCUCAAUUAAGGUCCCAAAAUUGCAUUUCAGUCCAAAAGUUUCUAAAAAUUGCAUUUCAGUCCUUUUUUAUUAUUUUUUUUUUUUUUGCAGAAAAGGUCCCAGGGGCAUUUUUGUCCAGAAUUUUCGCACAUUUUAGUCCAGUCCAGAUGUCACUUUUUUAUUGGUUCAGGUACACAUGGCAGCAUAUAAAAGGGGAACAGUGUCAGAUUUUUUCAGGGAUCCAUUCAUUACAAUACACAUCACCAAAAACAAAUUCCCAUUUUCUCUCUCUUUUCUGUUAGAUCAAAAACAGAAAUUUCUCAAGAACAAAACAGAACCCUAACCGAAAUUCAUCAUCAAAUUCUCAGAGAUUCGUGUACGAAUCUUCAUCAUCGAAUCGAUUCCACCGCAAUACAAGGUGCGAAUUCCUCACCGGAAGUGAAGAACUCAAGCACCGAUCACGGUAGGGAAAAAGAGGGAAAACCGAAUCUGCACAGAGGAAGGAGAAGAAGACAGAAUCAAAGAAACAGCAAGCAAAACGCGCACGCAAGCAAGCACACGCGCAAGCCAGCAAGCAAGCAAGCAAAACGCGCACGCAAGCAAGCACGCACGCAAGCCAGCAGGCAAGCGAGCAAGCACGCGAAGCACAAGCAGCAAGAGCCGUAACAGAAAACAAGAAGAGGUAAGCAUCCUCUUCGUUCGCAUCUCUUCCUUUUUCCACCGUUCUUUUACAAAAAUUUCAUCAAGAUUCAAACUCAGAUCUACUCCGAUUCAAGCUUUUUUCGAAAAAUCUAAGUUCGGAUUCGAGAAGUAUAUAAAAAAGGAUAUCUAAAAAUGUGAAAAUUUCUCGAAUCGGAGCAUUUUGAUUUUCCGGCACGGUGGCGCCGCCGCCAUCCGCCGCGCCGGAACGGAGGAGCUGGCCGGAGAAGAUGACCGGAAAGUUAGAGAGAAGGAGGAGCUUCUCUCUCUAAAAGAGAGAAGAAAGAGAAAGAGGAGUAACAAAUGAAAAAAACCGGACUUGAAGCAUAUAUAUAGAGCUUUGAACCGGUCCGGUUUAUUUUCGGUUUUUUCCUUUUCUUUUUCAGCCUCUAGAUCAAUCCAACGUCUCCUGUGCAAUCUGAGUUUUGUGUAUUGGGCUUUGGUUUGGGCUUAGGUUUUUUACGUUUUUUUGUUAUUUCCCUGCUAUCUGCACCAUAUGUCUUUGCUAUCAGCACCUGUUGCUUGCUCACUUUUUUACAAAAAAUUCCUAAAAAAUCCUAGUUGUUUCUUGAUAUAUUUUUGGUAUUUCUAUGGUGUUUUUGCAUAAAAAAAAUGGUAAAAUGGCAUGAAUUAAUUUCCAUGUGUGUUUACAUUUUUGGGUAUUAUUUUGGUUAUGUUUUUGUUCUUGACACUUUGAUGUGUGACAUGAACAAAUGAUACCCAAUCUUGUGAUGAAUACGCCUCUGGUCAUGUGCUUUCUUGCUGGUUUUUGGAUAUGAUUUUGUAAAUUUCUUGUUUUGCAAGCAACAAGUGUGUGUUUUAAGGAAUAAAGUGUCAAAUUCCUCUAGGAGUUUGGUGUGAUACUUUGCUUGCAUGUGUCUCUAUUAAUUCCACAUCAUGGCUUGAAACUAAAUCUCUUUCAAAAUCGCCAUGAUGUGAUGAUUAUGGGUCACAAGCACAUUUAGGUAUCAUAUCAAAUUUUUUAUAGGUUUUUACCAUUUUAUUACUUCCUUUUUGCUAUUCUUAUACAAUCUCUUUUUAUUUAUCUCUUACUAUUUCAUGCUUUAUGAUUACUAACCAUUUCAUCUCAUGUGACAUACAUUUCAUAGCAUCCCACUAUCUCCUCCACUUUCUUUAGCUUAGCAUUUAUUCUCUUUGCAAGUUUUAACUCAUUUGGUGAUGUAAUUUGUUAUCAUUGGUUUGUAGCUUGGCAAAGGGGCCAUAGAAUGUAUUUAGGCAAUUGUUGUAAUAUGGACUAUGGACACUAUGACGCACCGACACGCACACACUCACCUUAGAUGUAUGCAUAGGAUUGUAUGGUUAAAUAAGCGUUUAGGUUUUAAAUACUUAGAGAAAAUCCAUCUUUUUCCAAAAAACAAUUGAACUUCACUUCAAAAAAUUUCAUAGUAAAUAUGAAGUCAACACUUCAUUUUUUUUCUUUUCUUUUUCUUAAGGAAAAUUCAAUUCAUCUUAACCAUUUAGACUUUCUUUCUAAUCACUAAUCAAACCUCACUUUUUUGCUAAAUCUAAUGCUCAUGAAGCCUCCCAAUCUCCUUCUUCAAAACCAUUUUCAAAACUUAAAAUCAAACAAUUAAAACAAAAACAAGUUUUUUAGCAAGAACUACGAACGGUUUUGAUCCCUUAAAAAGGGUACGUAGGCAAUGAGUCAAAACUCAUCCAAGCCGAAAUAAAAUUAAAUUCUACAACUUCUCUCCCCACAUUCUUAGCUAAAUAAACCUCCCAUUUUCAAAAGUAAGUAAAAAUAAGCGUGAAUAUAGACUUAGGAAAACGGCUCCUAUAGAGGACUAUAGUUACUCCGGGUGCCUAACACCUUCCCGUAGUAAAACCGACCCCCGAACUUAGAAUCUAAGGGUUUUUCUCAAUUUUUCCCUUCCCAAGAAAAAAGAGAGAUAUCAACGGUCGAAAGGUACAAGUCCAAUUAAUGGCUUGGCACCCAAAAACCAUGAUAACAAUGAGCUACUUCAGAAGAAAGAUGAUCAAAUCAAGUAUCUCUUAGAAUAGUUGUAUAAGCAAGCCCAACCUUAGUUGCACACCCAACUCUAGCUUGUUUUUACUUUUGUUCUCUGUAGCUUUGCCUUUGUAUUAUACUUUCUUUAUAAAUAUCAUCAUUGUUUAUAAAUCAUAUGUUCUAUACUUUUAAUUCUGAUAAUAUUUACUGUUUUUAAUAUUGUCUGCUUCUGAUAUUGUUUAUGUUUUUAAGGUUUAUAUGUUUAUAUGCUCUGCUACUCUUUCUUUUGUUUUUAUUCUUUUUGUUGAUGACAAAAGGGAGAGUAAAUGUAUAGUAUUUUUUAAUGCACUGAGCCCCACUAUAACCACUUCAAAACCUUUUAAAUACUUCUGAUUUUAUUAAAUUUUUAUAAGUUUUUUAUUGAAAUUUAAUUAAUAAGAAUAGAACUCAGGGGGAGCUUACAAACCUCACCUUAAAGAUCUAUUAGACUCAGGGGGAGCUUACAAACCUCUAUCCCAGUGGUCAACUUAUUAAUUAGAUCAACAACAAUUGAACAUUUUAAAUACUAGUGUUUGUCAUCAUCAAAAAGGGGGAGAUUGUUGGAACAAAAUGUGUUUCACAAUGAACCUUAUUUAGUUUUGAUGAUAACAAGGUAUUAAAAAUUAUCAAUUGGUUAUUACUAAUGAUUAUUCAAGUGUACAGGACCAAAAGCUUGUCAAGCAAUUUCAAUAGGUCUUGGAAGAACAAUGAAAAGCAAAAGAAUUCCAAGCAUCUGAAGAAAACUGCUCCUGAAGCUGAAGUGCCUCUGAAGAGAUGACGUCAUCAGAAGCAGAAGAUCAUCAGAAGCAAAAUAUCUUCACCAGAAGCUACAUUUGAUCCCUUAAUCAAACUGAAGAUUCAAAGUAGCUGUCUCUCAAUUCAGUCUUAUCCAAGAAGAACGAAGAAUUGAAAGGGAGGUAUCAACGGUCAUAUGGAUAUCACUGAGCACUUGUCUCCUAUUAACAGAGUUGACAUAGUACAAGUGUACAACCACUACCUCCACUACUCUGCUUUUGUCUACGCUACAAGACAAGACAACAGCCUUGCCUGCAGAUUUUGCGCCUUCAAGAUGGGAAUGAAUUUGAAGAUUAUUCUUCAAAGGACUACACCCAAAUCAGGCAAAGGAUUACUGGUGGAUGAUCAAAGGAUUUCAAACGACUCUUUCGACGUGCUGAUUAUCUCAACGUCUCUUUCACGCCUCUAUAUAAAGGAUUGAAGACUUGAAGAUAGUAGAUAGAGAUAUACAAGUUCAAAAGCGCCAAAACUCUGUCAAAUUGAUUCUACAAAGCACACAGAAUUUCUGCACUGAUUUGAUACAUCUUAGAAAUUCAAAGUCUAGAGUCUUUACUGUAUUGUAUUGAGAACACCACUGAUUGUAUAUCAAGUGUUCAAGUCAAACUCAAUUCUCUGUA
Molecule: long non-coding RNA, 28618 nt
Filed under: Medicago truncatula (barrel medic)
Lineage: Eukaryota; Viridiplantae; Streptophyta; Magnoliopsida; Fabales; Fabaceae
Description: long non-coding RNA (MTRU_LNC000320)
Source: RNAcentral